CCCAACGUGAGGUGGAAUCUGAAGAAGCUGGAUGCAAAAUAUUGGUUUGAUGAACAAGAACAACAUACAAGGCUGAAAUGGAACAAAUCCUUUAAUUCUAUUGAACCACCGUAUACCGAACGGUACACAGGAUAACGUG
This is a non-coding RNA of Defluviitoga tunisiensis, 139 nucleotides long. The record is from Rfam. NCBI's taxonomy places the organism in Bacteria, Thermotogati, Thermotogota, Thermotogae, Petrotogales, Petrotogaceae.